RNAcentral lists this ribosomal RNA (347 nucleotides) under uncultured bacterium. RNAcentral describes it as "partial 16S ribosomal RNA". It matches the Rfam family "Bacterial small subunit ribosomal RNA", at positions 338 to 696 of the family's 1533-position model. The record is from RNAcentral.
CCUACGGGUGGCAGCAGUCGAGAAUCAUUCACAAUGGGGGAAACCCUGAUGGUGCGACGCCGCGUGGGGGAAUGAAGGUCUUCGGAUUGUAAACUCCUGUCAUGUGGGAGCAAAUUAAAAAGAUAGUACCACAAGAGGCAGAGACGGCUAACUCUGUGCCAGCAGCCGCGGUAAUACAUAGGUGUCAAGCGUUGUUCGGAAUCACUGGGCGUAAAGCGUGCGUAGGCUGUUUCGUAAGUCGUAUGUGAACGGCGCGGGCGCAACCCGCGGACGGCACAGGAUCUUGUGGGACUAGAGGAAUGGAGAGGGAACCGGAAGUCGCGGUGUAGCGGUGAAAUGCGUAGAUA